UGGGGAAUUUUGGACAAUGGGGGAAACCCUGAUCCAGCCAUCCCGCGUGUGCGAUGAAGGCCUUCGGGUUGUAAAGCACUUUUGGCAGGAAAGAAACGUCAUGGGUUAAUACCCUGUGAAACUGACGGUACCUGCAGAAUAAGCACCGGCUAACUACGUGCCAGCAGCCGCGGUAAUACGUAGGGUGCAAGCGUUAAUCGGAAUUACUGGGCGUAAAGCGUGCGCAGGCGGUUCGGAAAGAAAGAUGUGAAAUCCCAGAGCUCAACUUUGGAACUGCAUUUUUAACUACCGGGCUAGAGUGUGUCAGAGGGAGGUGGAAUUCCGCGUGUAGCAGUGAAAUGCGUAGAUAUGCGGAGGAACACCGAUGGCGAAGGCAGCCUCCUGGGAUAACACUGACGCUCAUGCACGAAAGCGUGGGGAGCAAACAGG
This 429-nucleotide ribosomal RNA is filed under the name Acidobacteriota bacterium. RNAcentral's name for it is "Acidobacteria bacterium partial 16S ribosomal RNA". It matches the Rfam family "Bacterial small subunit ribosomal RNA", at positions 355 to 776 of the family's 1533-position model. The record is from RNAcentral. Lineage: Bacteria; Pseudomonadati; Acidobacteriota.